AUGCACUGGUACGCAUGGUGGAAGAUAUGUGUACCGAAAUCUCUAGGAGGUAUGGGGUUUCAAGAUUUAUAUUCCUUUAAUCUUGCGAUGCUAGCUAAAUAGUGCUGGGGGCUAAUCACCUGGCCAGAAUCUCUUUGCGCAAAAGUGCUUCAUGCAAAAUAUUAUCCAGAUGGACAACUCCUUCAGGCAAGUCCAAAAAGGGGGUCGUCUUUCAAACGUUUGAACCCACGGAAUUCAAAUUUUCAAAUGGGGAUAUAUAUGGAUAAUUGGUAA
Molecule: ribosomal RNA, 273 nt
Filed under: Triticum aestivum (bread wheat)
Lineage: Eukaryota; Viridiplantae; Streptophyta; Magnoliopsida; Poales; Poaceae
Description: partial small subunit ribosomal RNA
Source: RNAcentral